RNAcentral lists this ribosomal RNA (396 nucleotides) under Salmonella enterica subsp. enterica serovar Infantis. RNAcentral's name for it is "partial 23S ribosomal RNA". It matches the Rfam family "Bacterial large subunit ribosomal RNA", at positions 1084 to 1397 of the family's 2925-position model. Lineage: Bacteria; Pseudomonadati; Pseudomonadota; Gammaproteobacteria; Enterobacterales; Enterobacteriaceae. RNAcentral also lists the same sequence under 4 other names. The record is from RNAcentral.
CCCAGACAGCCAGGAUGUUGGCUUAGAAGCAGCCAUCAUUUAAAGAAAGCGUAAUAGCUCACUGGUCGAGUCGGCCUGCGCGGAAGAUGUAACGGGGCUAAACCAUGCACCGAAGCUGCGGCAGCGAACGUAUCACUUAAAGCGAUUCAGCGGGUUACGAUUGACGGAGCGAAGCGACGUCAAAGCGUAUACAAAGUCGAGUCGGUUUAAGGAUACGUUCGUUGGGUAGGGGAGCGUUCUGUAAGCCUGCGAAGGUGGCCUGUGAGGGUUGCUGGAGGUAUCAGAAGUGCGAAUGCUGACAUAAGUAACGAUAAAGCGGGUGAAAAGCCCGCUCGCCGGAAGACCAAGGGUUCCUGUCCAACGUUAAUCGGGGCAGGGUGAGUCGACCCCUAAGGC